Molecule: ribosomal RNA, 449 nt
Filed under: uncultured bacterium
Lineage: Bacteria
Description: bacterial SSU rRNA
Rfam family: Bacterial small subunit ribosomal RNA
Source: RNAcentral
ACGAACGCUGGCGGCGUGCUUAACACAUGCAAGUCGAACGAAGCAGCAAUGCUUAGUGGCGGACGGGUGAGUAACGCGUAGGUAACCUGCCUCAUAGUGGGGGAUACCCAGCCGAAAGGUUGGCUAAUACCGCAUAAGCUGGUUCUUUGGAAUAGGAAUCAGGAAAGAUUUAUUGCUAUGAGAGGGGCCUGCGUUCGAUUAGCUAGUUGGUGAGGUAAUGGCUCACCAAGGCGACGAUCGAUAGCUGGUCUGAGAGGACGAUCAGCCACACUGGAACUGAGACACGGUCCAGACUCCUACGGGAGGCAGCAGUGGGGAAUUUUCCGCAAUGGGCGAAAGCCUGACGGAGCAACGCCGCGUGGAUGAUGAAGUCUUUCGGGAUGUAAAAUCCUUUCAGCAGGGACGAAGCGAGUGACGGUACCUGCAGAAGAAGCAUCGGCUAACUACGU